RNAcentral lists this ribosomal RNA (505 nucleotides) under uncultured Glomeromycotina. RNAcentral describes it as "SSU rRNA". It matches the Rfam family "Eukaryotic small subunit ribosomal RNA", at positions 569 to 1077 of the family's 1831-position model. The record is from RNAcentral. Lineage: Eukaryota; Fungi; Glomeromycota.
AGCAGCCGCGGUAAUUCCAGCUCCAAUAGCGUAUAUUAAAGUUGCUGCAGUUAAAAAGCUCGUAGUUGAAUUUCGGGACUAAUAUGUCGGUCGUGCCUCGGUACGUACUGGUUUAUUGGUUUCUCCUUUCUGAAGAACCAUGAUGUCAUUUAUUUGGUGUCGUGGGGAAUCAGGACUGUUACUUUGAAAAAAUUAGAGUGUUUAAAGCAGGCUCACGCUUGAAUACAUUAGCAUGGAAUAAUGAAAUAGGACGUUUGAUUCUAUUUUGUUGGUUUCUAGGAUCGACGUAAUGAUUAAUAAGGAUAGUUGGGGGCAUUAGUAUUCAAUUGUCAGAGGUGAAAUUCUUGGAUUUAUUGAAGACUAACUACUGCGAAAGCAUUUGCCAAGGAUGUUUUCAUUAAUCAAGAACGAAAGUUAGGGGAUCGAAGACGAUCAGAUACCGUCGUAGUCUUAACCAUAAACUAUGCCGACUAGGGAUCGGAUGAUGUUAAUUUUUUAAUGACUC